AACGAACGCUGGCGGCAGGCUUAACACAUGCAAGUCGAACGCACCGCAAGGUGAGUGGCGCACGGGUGAGUAACGCGUGGGAAUGUACCGUUUAGUACGGAAUAGCUCCGGGAAACUGGAAUUAAUACCGUAUACGCCCUUCGGGGGAAAGAUUUAUCGCUAAACGAUCAGCCCGCGUGAGAUUAGGUAGUUGGUGGGGUAAUGGCCUACCAAGCCUACGAUCUCUAGCUGGUCUGAGAGGAUGAUCAGCCACACUGGAACUGAGACACGGUCCAGACUCCUACGGGAGGCAGCAGUGGGGAAUAUUGGACAAUGGGGGCAACCCUGAUCCAGCCAUGCCGCGUGAAUGAUGAAGGCCUUAGGGUUGUAAAGUUCUUUUACCGAUGAAGAUAAUGACGGUAGUCGGAGAAAAAGCCCCGGCUAACUUCGUGCCAGCCGCCGCUGUAA
This 447-nucleotide ribosomal RNA is filed under the name uncultured bacterium. RNAcentral's name for it is "partial 16S ribosomal RNA". It matches the Rfam family "Bacterial small subunit ribosomal RNA", at positions 29 to 523 of the family's 1533-position model. The record is from RNAcentral.